RNAcentral lists this long non-coding RNA (1759 nucleotides) under Homo sapiens (human). RNAcentral describes it as "non-protein coding lnc-APOL4-1:5". The record is from RNAcentral. Lineage: Eukaryota; Metazoa; Chordata; Mammalia; Primates; Hominidae.
AGCUCUGGUUCUGACACCCUCAGACACGGCCAGCUGACCCCAGAAGAAAGGUAGGUGUUGGGGGUGCCCAUCUCUUUGGGAAAUUUGAAGGAAUCAAAGAAGGUGGAGGAGGGGAGGUGACCUGGAGCCCGGCAUGUCCUUGUGGCCGGGCCACACCCAGGCUGGCCCCAGGGUGCUGCUGCUGAAGCCCAAUGGGAACAACAGAUUUCUUUUGAGACACAAGGAACUCAGAGGUUGUCUCACUCACCCUGAGUCUGAGCACCUACUUGUGCCAGGCCCUGUGGGGAAACUGAGGCCCUGGGAGGGGAAUGACUUGCCAGGGUCCCGUGUCAGGAGGCUGAGCAGGCAGAUCAUAGGACUUCACGUCUCUGGCCCUCACCUCUGUCCCUCUGUUCAGACCUCUGAGCUGAUAGAGAAGAAACAGGCUGUGCUGUGUCCCUAAUGGGAAACAUGGCUGAGACAGGGGAGUGAGAAGGUCGCAUUGCAGAAUGGUACCUGUGGCAUGAUGCCAGCUUUGCAAUCAUGAGAUUCAAAAGCCACACUGUGGAAUUGUGAGUAUAACUACAGGAGUGAGAGCUUAGGUCUCUGUGUUUGUAGAAGCAGAAUCAAACCUGGACACUGUUGGAUUAUUAAAAUCACCCAUUUUUGCUUCAAUAUCAGAGUCACAAGGGCAGAUGUUGGCCUCCCCUCUGCCCUCCAAGAGCUGUGUGACUCUGGGCAAGUCACCUCCCCUCCCAGCCUAAGAUUUUUCCCCUCUAAAAAACUUGAUAGAGCUGCCAAAAGUCCAUGAAAUCAGGGGGGUAAUUUCUGUGAAAUAUGAGUCAUGGUCUUAUUUGUUCUUCACCAAAAAGAGAUGCCCAUCAAGAUAGAAAGAAAAAUUAAAUUCAAUUUCUCAACUGAAAGUGAAACUGAAGCUGGGCCAUGUCAUCCAGAGGCUGGUUGCUUUUAGUUCAAGUAAUGCCUCCUGCACCUGGGAUUUCAGCCAGGCUGUGCCAGGGAGGGCGGAGGGCAUCCAGGUCAGUCGUAGGGGGUGCAGCUGGGAACACAACAGUGUCCCCAUUGAAUGUUCAGAGUCUAAAGGGGAGACAGAGGCCCAAAGAGCCACAUACAGGUAGAGCUCCCUCUGGAAAGCAGAGUGCUCAGGGAGCCUGGGGAGGGUUGGGGGCCGCCGCAUGGACCAGGCAGCUUUGGGUGGGUCUCUGAGGACAGGUGACUUGCACAUGGUGGGGACAGUGGGGGGGACAUUCCAGGGCGAGGGAGCAGCUGAGUGAAGGCCUGAGGCUGGGGAUGGGAGUGGGAGGAGUAGAUGGGCUCCAGGAGGCACCGAAGCAGGGCGUCAGUGGGUGCCUGGACCUAAGGUGACUGUGGUGGCAGGGAGCGGUGAGGAAGGUGGGGUCCAGAGCAUCAGAGGGCCUGUGUGCCCUGCUAUGGGGUUUGAACUUGACCGUGGCUUUUCACUGAAGAUUCCUCAGAAGGGUGCAGUGCCACGGCUGAGGCCUGUAAUUCAGUGCUGUGGGAGGCAGAGGCGGGAGAAUCACAUGAUGCUAGGAGCUCAAGACAGCUUGGGCAACACAGGAGAUGCUGUCUCUCUGAAAUGAAAAAUUAACAAAUUAGUCCUGCAUGGUGCCGUGUGCCUGUAGUCCCAGCUACCUGGAAGGCUGAGGCAGAAGGAUCACUUGAGCCCAGGGGCUCUAGGCUACAGCAAGCUGUGAUAGCCCCAAAGCACUCCAGACUGGGUGACAGAGCAAGACAGUUUCUC